RNAcentral lists this ribosomal RNA (497 nucleotides) under uncultured bacterium. RNAcentral's name for it is "partial 16S ribosomal RNA". It matches the Rfam family "Bacterial small subunit ribosomal RNA", at positions 28 to 507 of the family's 1533-position model. The record is from RNAcentral.
GAUGAACGCUGGCGGCGUGCCUAAUACAUGCAAGUCGAGCGAACAGACGAGGAGCUUGCUCCUCUGACGUUAGCGGCGGACGGGUGAGUAACACGUGGAUAACCUACCUAUAAGACUGGGAUAACUUCGGGAAACCGGAGCUAAUACCGGAUAAUAUAUUGAACCGCAUGGUUCAAUAGUGAAAGACGGUUUUGCUGUCACUUAUAGAUGGAUCCGCGCCGCAUUAGCUAGUUGGUAAGGUAACGGCGUACCAAGGCGACGAUGCGUAGCCGACCUGAGAGGGUGGUCGGCCACACUGGAACUGAGACACGGUCCAGACUCCUACGGGAGGAAGCAGUAGGGAAUCUUCCGCAAUGGGCGAAAGCCUGACGGAGCAACGCCGCGUGAGUGAUGAAGGUCUUCGGAUCGUAAAACUCUGUUAUUAGGGAAGAACAAAUGUGUAAGUAACUAUGCACGUCUUGACGGUACCUAAUCAGAAAGCCACGGCUAACUACGUG